This is a non-coding RNA of Schistosoma curassoni, 45 nucleotides long. The record is from Rfam. NCBI's taxonomy places the organism in Eukaryota, Metazoa, Platyhelminthes, Trematoda, Strigeidida, Schistosomatidae.
ACUCGGCAGAAGAGUCCCCAAUAGGAUGAAAUGUGCUUCCUGAAU